UACAGAGGGGGCCAGCGUUAUUCGGAAUUAUUGGGCGUAAAGGGCUCGUAGGCGGCCAACUAAGUCAGACGUGAAAUCCCUCGGCUUAACCGGGGAACUGCGUCUGAUACUGGAUGGCUUGAGUGUGGGAGAGGAAUGCGGAAUUCCAGGUGUAGCGGUGAAAUGCGUAGAUAUCUGGAGGAACACCGGUGGCGAAGGCGGCAUUCUGGACCAUUACUGACGCUGAGGAGCGAAAGCCAGGGGAGCAAAGCGGG
This 254-nucleotide ribosomal RNA is filed under the name uncultured bacterium. Its description in RNAcentral is "partial 16S ribosomal RNA". It matches the Rfam family "Bacterial small subunit ribosomal RNA", at positions 524 to 777 of the family's 1533-position model. The record is from RNAcentral.